Molecule: ribosomal RNA, 757 nt
Filed under: Escherichia coli 2-474-04_S1_C1
Lineage: Bacteria; Pseudomonadati; Pseudomonadota; Gammaproteobacteria; Enterobacterales; Enterobacteriaceae
Description: bacterial LSU rRNA
Rfam family: Bacterial large subunit ribosomal RNA
Source: RNAcentral
AAGAAACAUCUUCGGGUUGUGAGGUUAAGCGACUAAGCGUACACGGUGGAUGCCCUGGCAGUCAGAGGCGAUGAAGGACGUGCUAAUCUGCGAUAAGCGUCGGUAAGGUGAUAUGAACCGUUAUAACCGGCGAUUUCCGAAUGGGGAAACCCAGUGUGUUUCGACACACUAUCAUUAACUGAAUCCAUAGGUUAAUGAGGCGAACCGGGGGAACUGAAACAUCUAAGUACCCCGAGGAAAAGAAAUCAACCGAGAUUCCCCCAGUAGCGGCGAGCGAACGGGGAGCAGCCCAGAGCCUGAAUCAGUAUGUGUGUUAGUGGAAGCGUCUGGAAAGGCGCGCGAUACAGGGUGACAGCCCCGUACACAAAAAUGCACAUGCUGUGAGCUCGAUGAGUAGGGCGGGACACGUGGUAUCCUGUCUGAAUAUGGGGGGACCAUCCUCCAAGGCUAAAUACUCCUGACUGACCGAUAGUGAACCAGUACCGUGAGGGAAAGGCGAAAAGAACCCCGGCGAGGGGAGUGAAAAAGAACCUGAAACCGUGUACGUACAAGCAGUGGGAGCACGCUUAGGCGUGUGACUGCGUACCUUUUGUAUAAUGGGUCAGCGACUUAUAUUCUGUAGCAAGGUUAACCGAAUAGGGGAGCCGAAGGGAAACCGAGUCUUAACUGGGCGUUAAGUUGCAGGGUAUAGACCCGAAACCCGGUGAUCUAGCCAUGGGCAGGUUGAAGGUUGGGUAACACUAACUGGAGGACCGAA